CCUACGGGGGGCUGCAGUAGGGAAUUUUCGGCAAUGGGGGGAACCCUGACCGAGCAACGCCGCGUGAACGAAGAAGUUAUUCAUAAUGUAAAGUUCUAUUAACAGGGAAGAAAGAGAAAUUUGACGGUACCUGAAGAAUCAGCUCCGGCUAACUACGUGCCAGCAGCCGCGGUAAUACGUAGGGAGCGAGCGUUAUCCGGAAUUAUUGGGCGAAAAGGGUGCGUAGAUGGCAUAGUAAGUCUUUUGUAAAAAUGCUGGGCUCAACCCAGUAGGGCAAAAGAUACUGCAAAGCUAGAGUAUGACAGAGGCAAGUGGAACUACAUGUGUAGCGGUAAAAUGCGUAAAUAUAUGUAAGAACACCAGUGGCGAAGGCGGCUUGCUGGGUCGAUACUGACAUUGAGGCACGAAAGCGUGGGGAGCAAACAGGAUUAGAUACCCGAGUAGUC
RNAcentral lists this ribosomal RNA (446 nucleotides) under uncultured bacterium. RNAcentral's name for it is "partial 16S ribosomal RNA". It matches the Rfam family "Bacterial small subunit ribosomal RNA", at positions 338 to 795 of the family's 1533-position model. The record is from RNAcentral.